This 6302-nucleotide small RNA is filed under the name Rattus norvegicus (Norway rat). RNAcentral describes it as "uncharacterized LOC108350212". Lineage: Eukaryota; Metazoa; Chordata; Mammalia; Rodentia; Muridae. The record is from RNAcentral.
AGAAUAUCACAGGAUUAUAGGACAGUUUAGAGGGAGGAAAGGGAAGGAAGAUAUAUUGGAAUUAAAUUACAGUCUCAAAGAAGCAAACCUGAUUUCCUUUUUAAAUCUUCAGAUAUACCAAUAAUAGAAACAUUGCCAGUACAUGAGGGAGAGAUUUCUCUAUAUUUUAUUCCCAGUGUACCUCCUGUCAUCUUAAAAGAGUAUCACCUUUCUGUAGAUACCAUCAUUCUGCACACUUCCUCCCAGAUUGAGAAGUCUGAGUCGUGUAAUGGGAAGAGGCAAAAGCAUUGGGUAUGUGGUAUCAGUGUAGGAGACAAGAAUAGCAAUGGGUACUUAUUUAGUGCCCUUCUUCUUAAUCUGUGACCAAUGCCCCCUGGUAGUAGCAAAUCCUGAAGGUAGACUUCAAGAUCACAAACAAAACUACAAGAAAGCAUCUUUAUGUUCUAUUAGCACCAUUAAAGAAAUGCAUAGCUGACUUCAAAGUAAGGUAAUAUCAUCCCUAUUUAAGAACAUCCUUUAGUCUAUCUUACUGUUGAUAACUUCAAAAAUGUGAAAGUUUCAUACUUGUAAAUAAAAUAAGUCAGCACUGUUGGAAUACAGAAAUGGAAAGAAAACAAGGCCUGUUUUUAUCAGAUUUUGGGAAGGUACUUUGGAAACUUCUUAGCUUGACAAAAACUGUAGACUUAUUUUUAGUAAGUGAAUUUAUGAGAUUUAAUAAUUUGUAUGCCAAGACAAUGUAGAAUCCUGGACUAUUCAGUUAUUAGGAUGUUUCCUGCAAGGAGCCAUGAAAUGCACUGUUGUUGUGAAGGUAACAGUACUUUGAAGUGGGUAUAUUUUCAUUCUGCUAAGCCCUUGGUUGGCAGCUCAUGUUUUAUUUUAAAUAUAACCACUUCUAUUCAAAAUUUAUAUUCAUAAUUUUAUCAGAGAGGGCUGUUUUUCAAAUUGUAUAAGUUUAGGUCAUAAACUAUCUUAUCUAUUAUGAUAAUAUGUUAAUAGAAAAAAAUUAUAAAAAUUGCAUGUUAAUAAGUUGAAAACUCUUUUUAGUAAGAAUCUGAAAAAUGUAAGAAAUGGAACAGCAGUUCUUUUACAUUUCAUUGGGUGGUGUUAAUGAUUUUUACCAAACACUGACAUUUAUUAAUAGUGAGACUCUUCAGGCAUUUUGCCAGUAAGGUGACAGAAGUUUGCUCCUCCCUCAUUGAAGCCACCAGUGAGGUCACUAAACACAACUUGAAUUCUUAUCUCAGAUGUCUGCCAGGCAUCUUCAAGGUACCUGCAUGUUCAGGUGAAGUGGAUAAUAUUGUCCACUGAACACUCUUUACUUUGGACUUUACAAAGUGAACACUAGAGAGAAAAACAAUAACAUUUAUAAGACAUUCAAUAUCUUAGUUGUUCCCUAGGUUGUGUUUUGAGGUAGAUUCGUACAGUCCUGGGUAGACUCCAUGUAUGCACUGAAACAGGUAUGAGAUGUGAAAACUCAGGAGGCAUUCAUUGUUCUUUAGGAUGAUGAAUUAAUAUUGUUAAAGUUAUCAUCAGUAACACUACUACACAAUUAUGUAUUACUGGCAUGGUUUACAUGAUAUUGAACUUGACUGAAGAUUUUAAAAUUUAUCCCAAUAAUGAAUUUUUAAAAUAGCUAGGAAAAGCAUAAUAACUACAUGGGCAGUGCCAUUGAGCCCUUAGAUAUUUAACUAUAUUGUAAAGUUGAAUUGCUAUAGGCUUCUGUCAAUCACUAUAUUGAAAGAAGGUGGGGUAGUUAAUAGCCCUACCUCAUUCUUGAUUUUAAUGUGAUUGGUAAAUGUUUUCUAAUUAGGAUAAUGUUGGCUAUGUGUUUGUCAUAUGUAGCAUUAAUCCUAUUGAAGUUUAUUCCGUCCAGUUCUAUAUUCUAUAGGGAUUUUUUUCAUGAAGACCAUAUUUAAUUUUAUUAUGAAUUUGUCAUGACAAAAUUGUUAAAAUUUUCAAAGAUUUUUCUACAUUUAUUUUACUGAUGUGAAUUUUGUAUUUCAGUCCAUCCAUAUGAUUUUCUAUAUUUUUAUUUAUUCAUUUUCUGUAUAUUACUUUAUUGACAUGAAUGAGUAUUUUGCCUGAAUGUGUUUCUGUUGACCUGGUGCCUAUGGAAGCUAGAAGAAGGAUUUGGCUCCCACCAACAGAAAGCAUAUAUUCUAUAAACCAAGUUUGCUAGAAGAGCAACCAUUGCCCUUGGUCAAUGGGAUAUCUCUCCAACCCCACAACUAAUGACUUUCUUACAUUUGAAUUUUGUAAAUGGUUUUCUGUAUUUAUUGUAUUGAUGGGAAUUUUGUACUUCAGUCCAUUUAUAUGCAUCCCUGAGAUAAAGCCAAUUUGAUCGUGGUAAAUGAUCUUUCUAUACAUGUUUAUAUUUGACUUUCAAGUAUUUUACUACAUCCAUGUUCAUCCAGGAUAUUGCCCUACAGUUAAUUAUAAUUAAACAUUAACUUUGUCAUAUAUCUCUAUUUACAAAGUAUACAGAGAAAUUCCUAGAAGUUUUGUAUUAGCAUGUUCCUAAUUACAUGGUAAAGAAGAUCUAAUUAUAGCCCAGAAGGGACAUCACGUAUAAUCUUAUAAAUGGGUAGAUCUUCUACGUCAGAGGUCUCUCAUAGUUACCCUGUAGGUUUGUCUCAUGACAUAAUAAAUAAAUCAUUAGUAAAGAGAGAUGUCUUAAUUCUCAACAAAUAUGUAGACAUGUAUGCAUAAAAUGCAGUUCCAUAAAAAUCAACCUUAUUAAGCAUUAAUGCAAGAUUUGCUGCAUGGAAGACUAUCCAUAAAAUUAUUUACCGUGGCUACUCAUGGGAGGUGAGAAUACUUCAGGACUAUGGAAACUUCAUUUUCGGUAAUAGUUAAUAUUUCUAUCAAAGGUUCAUAAACCAUAUAUAUGUGCAAAUAAUUAGAGCUAUUAUAUUAAGAGAAAAUGCUUUUUCAGACAAAUAUAUUAUAUGCUAGUGGCUAUCACUAAUACAUUUAAAUUCAAACACAUUUCGUGAAAAUUAAUGAAUCAUACCUCUGAAUGAACUGAUUAAAUCUUUGGUUUUUUUACAAACACAGUAUUGGAGAAUCACGACGUAGUGGAAGAGCAUGAGGUCAUGGUUUUAUAUGUUAAGAGCGAGUCCUUGACAGUUUAAAUGAAGUGCCAAAGUUCUAGUUAAGGCUAGAUCAGGAUAGAAAGCUUCCAAACUGGUCUUUUAUUGCAUUACAAUUUUCUUCUAAAGUUCUCACCACUGUCUCUUUGUCUUUGGACAGGGAAAAGUAAUUACCAUUGGCUCAGUCAGUAUUUACCAUUGACUCAAGCGGUAGUUACCACUGGCUUAAACAGUAUUUUAGGACAAUAGGAUAGCAACCUAAAUUAAAGAGACUUAUUCAUUCUAAAAAUAGCAUUUUGCAUACCACAGAUUUUACAGAAUAAGAAGGACUCUAGGAAAUAAGAGAGUGAUGGGGAUGGCACUCUAGUAGACUGCACAAGUUGCCAUGAGCAAACACAAAAAAGGUAAGUUGAAUUUUGGGACAUGAAUUGAGCAAACUCUCAGAUUUUCUAGUUGCCUAGGAACAUUCAGACACUGCAGCUCAUGCUUUGCCUAUUUUGUAAUCUUUAGAUUGGUUGUCACUUGCAGAGGAUUAGUUUCUCAGAAUGUUGACUCAGAACUGAUUUCAUCAAAUCAUGUGUUCUUUGAUAUCUUGAUGUUUAGUUGAGCCACACAAGUGCCUGAUGAACACGAGUCAAAACCAAGUGAAACCUACCAGGCAUCAUGCAGUGCCGAAGAGUAAUCCAGAUAAAAUAAUGACAACCAGCUUAAACCUAAAGCUACUCUUUCUUCUUCGGAAUAUAUCCUUAUUCAUUAUACGCUUGCUAACUUACAUUUAAUACAACAUAGGUUGAGAUUCACAUAUUGGAAAUACAUGAAGAUGUUUAACAACCUGAGGUAUCAGCAAAUGUAAACUAAAGUUUCAUUCUAUCUCAUCCUACUAAUAAUGGUUAUCAUCAAGAAAAUUAGCAAUGUAACACACAGGGGUGGUGGGAAAAAAGAUAUUUUUACAUUGCUGAUGGGCAUGUAUAGUGGUGAGUUCACUAAAGUAAUCUGUUCAGAGGAUCCCCAAAUAAUGAAAGCAGAACUACCUUAUAUCUCUGAUAUGCUCCUUGGUCUAUGUCUAGAAAAGUCUUUAUCAGUAUGUCACUAAGACACUUAAUCAUCUAUAUUUGUGGCACAAGUACUCAUAAUAGCCAGGAAAUUCAAGGAAAUGGAACUUAAAUUCCCAUCAUCAAAUGACUGUGUAAAUGUUAUUUGGGAUACAUAUACACAGCAGGGUUUUAUAUUCCACAAUAAGGAACAUGAAAUAAAGAAAGAAUGCCAUUCAUAGAAAAAUUGAUGGAAACAAGAAAGUCAACCUAAGAAGCAAAAUAAGGAAAAUUCAAAAGACAAAUAUCACAUGGUUGUUCUCAUAAAUUCAUGUUUAUAAACAUAUAUUUAUUAUAGACUUUUCAUGAAAGUAGAUGGCUGAUAGGGUUGAAUGGGAAGGGUGAAAGGAACAAGAGAGAGAAAUAUGAAAAAGUCAAAAAUCUUCUGCUUUUGUCAAUGAAGCCUGGAUUUAAUUCAAUAUCUUUGCAUGUAUAUGAUAUCUGUCUUUCUGCUUGCAGGUCUAUCUGUCAAUCACUUAAUCUAUCAUCUGCCCUCUAUUACUUGACAUGAAAGCAGAUAGAAGACUAUUUAGGACAAAACAGAGACCAGAGAAGAUGGGAAGAUUGGAGGUCAGCGUGAGAAAGAUACCACAGCUCAACAUGUACAUGCAGCGCCUGCAAAGACUAGAGAGAGCAUUGGGAGCGGCCCAUGCAGGAGCUGAAACUGAACUUGUAUCAGCUGGAAGCUCUGCACAUGCUCACCACCAUUGAACAAUUUCUCCAGAUCCAAAACAUGGAAGAUUCUGCCAAGAGCAAGCCUUAAUAUUUUUCUUUUGAAAGACUUCCAUUCAUUGAUUUGCUCUUGUAUUCACUUACUUUCCUUCAAAUUAUCAAUGGAUUUUAUUCAAUUAAAAGGGAGAUUGGGAUCCAUUGUCUGAAUGUUGGGAAUUUAUGACAUACGGAUACUGAUGGGCUUCUGAAAAUGCUUCUCUCUGAACAAUAAAGAAGACGGAAAUUGAUUUCAAAAGGUCAGGAAGUUUUCAAGUAAAUCGUAAUACCCCUUCAAUAUGAAACAAACAACAAUUUAUGUAUAUGUUGUCUAAACAAGUUGUCAAAUAAAAUUUUAUGGAAUUGCAGUUUUUUUUCUAACCAUAUUAUUUAACCUAUGUACAUAUAUUAACAUUUUAUAUGUUUUUCUUUAAAAAGCAUAUUUAUAUGCUUCCUGAUUAUAAUUCACCACUUAACCCUACAGCCCAGUUUUAAACCCUGACCAUAGAAGCCUUUCUUGGGGCUCAGGAGAGGGCUCUGUGGUUAAAGAUGUAUGCUGCCAUCCCUGAUGAGAAGCUCGAUCCCCAGAUCUCACAAAUUGUCCUCUGAACUGCAUGCAUGUGGCAUGCUUUGUAUACACAGAUACAAACAAAAAAACACCAUACAAUCAAAAGUGCAAUUUAAAAUUCCCUUGAUAGUUUGUGAGCUAAGAUCUAUUAAUCAUUGUUAUCUAUUAAUCAAAUUACUGAUGUUUCAAAACUGGUUUGAAGACCUGCAACUGUAGUGUCUCCUUUUGAACACAGUCAAACCUGGUGAUGUCACAAUUAGACCAUUACAGAUGUCAUCACGGUUGAGAUUUACUCUCCUAAACAUGACAGAGUCAUGGCUACUCAGUACAUUCAUGUGUCUCUGGCAGUGAAGAUGGUCAACAUGGAAGUUACAGAUUCAUUCGAAGCUCACAUUCAUUUUUUCCUAGAAGUUAUACUUGCCUGGAAAUUUUGCCUCUGGCUUGCACUGAAUUACUGGGCAGCCAAUUUUGCAAACAUGAUUGUGUCUCUGGAAUUUGAUACGCAAAAUGGUUUAUUAAUAUUGACCUCAUCAAAGUCAUGAGGUUUUGUGAAGAUCAGAAAACACUGAAAACACUCAUAAAAAACAAUGGGAUAUUUAGAUAGUAGUAGCUUUCGGCUUUCCCAUCAUCCUGUGUUUCCUUCUCUCCCUCUGUCUCUUCCUUCCUUCCUUCUUUCCUUAUAGACUAUGUAACUAUACAGCCCAGAAUAGUUUCAAUAUUGCCUGAAUUUCCCAGGUACUUUUGAAUUUCUCAUUUUUUUAGCAUUUAGCAGUUCAUAAAAUGUUGAUUUUUCUCUGUGGAAAAAGGGAAAAUAUAGCAUUCCUUAGUAAUUAAUAAUUUUAA